UAGAGUUUGAUCAUGGCUCAGAAUGAACGCUGGCGGCAUGCCUAACACAUGCAAGUCGAACGAAUUACCUUCGGGUAGUUAGUGGCGCACGGGUGCGUAACGCGUGGGAAUCUGCCCCUUGGUUCGGAAUAACAGUUGGAAACGACUGCUAAUACCGGAUGAUGACGUAAGUCCAAAGAUUUAUCGCCGAGGGAUGAGCCCGCGUAGGAUUAGGUAGUUGGUGUGGUAAAGGCGCACCAAGCCGACGAUCCUUAGCUGGUCUGAGAGGAUGAUCAGCCACACUGGGACUGAGACACGGCCCAGACUCCUACGGGAGGCAGCAGUGGGGAAUAUUGGACAAUGGGCGAAAGCCUGAUCCAGCAAUGCCGCGUGAGUGAUGAAGGCCUUGGGGUUGUAAAGCUCUUUA
This 406-nucleotide ribosomal RNA is filed under the name uncultured Sphingomonas sp. RNAcentral's name for it is "bacterial SSU rRNA". It matches the Rfam family "Bacterial small subunit ribosomal RNA", at positions 1 to 437 of the family's 1533-position model. Lineage: Bacteria; Pseudomonadati; Pseudomonadota; Alphaproteobacteria; Sphingomonadales; Sphingomonadaceae. The record is from RNAcentral.